UUGAAACAACAAUAUCAGUGCUUAAGAAAUAAAUCGAUAAAUAAUUACAAAAUGUAUUUUACAAAAGUGUUUUUCAUGUUGGUUAUUGCCAUUACUUUGUAUCUGAACUUCUCGGAGGCUGGUCAACAAAUCGGUAAAACAGUGGGCACCGCUAUAAAACAAGGCGCUAAGAAAUUGCCUCCUGUUGCUGUUGGUGGCUAUGCUGCCAAUUCAACAGUGAACGUCAAUGUUAAUACUAAGCCCCAAAGCAGACCCGGCUCUCCCAGCGGCAAUAAACCGAAAAAAAAUUAAGAGUUGGGAAAAUGUGAAAACAAGGCGCAUUAAUUAAGCCCCAGUUUUCUCACAAUAUCGUAAACAAUUUAUGUCUGAUUUCAUUAAAAUGUUUGCUGAUGUUUAACAAAUAAAUUAACAAAAUUUCAUAUGAAAA
Molecule: long non-coding RNA, 427 nt
Organism: Calliphora vicina (urban bluebottle blowfly)
Lineage: Eukaryota; Metazoa; Arthropoda; Insecta; Diptera; Calliphoridae
Exons: 2
Source: RefSeq, a predicted model, not a curated record